GACGAACGCUGGCGGCGUGCUUAACACAUGCAAGUCGAACGGAAAGGCCCUGCUUUUGUGGGGUGCUCGAGUGGCGAACGGGUGAGUAACACGGGAGUAACCUGCCCUUGACUUUGGGAUAACUUCAGGAAACUGGGGCUAAUACCGGAUAGGAGCGCCUGCUGCAUGGUGGGGGUUGGAAAGUUUCGGCGGUUGGGGAUGGACUCGCGGCUUAUCAGCUUGUUGGUGGGGUAGUGGCUUACCAAGGCUUUGACGGGUAGCCGGCCUGGGAGGGUGACCGGCCACAUUGGGACUGAGAUACGGCCCAGACUCCUACGGGAGGCAGCAGUGGGGAAUAUUGCACAAUGGGCGGAAGCCUGAUGCAGCAGCGCCGCGUGCGGGAUGACGGCCUUCGGGUUGUAAACCGCUUUCGCCUGUGACGAAGCGUGAGUGACGGUAAUGGGUAAAGAAGCACCGGCUAACUACGUG
Molecule: ribosomal RNA, 468 nt
Filed under: uncultured bacterium
Lineage: Bacteria
Description: partial 16S ribosomal RNA
Rfam family: Bacterial small subunit ribosomal RNA
Source: RNAcentral